CCUACGGGUGGCAGCAGUGGGGAAUAUUGCACAAUGGGGGAAACCCUGAUGCAGCGACGCCGCGUGAGUGAAGAAGUAUUUCGGGAUGUAAAGCUCUAUCAGCAGGGAAGAAAAUGACGGUACCUGACUAAGAAGCCCCGGCUAACUACGUGCCAGCAGCCGCGGUAAUACGUAGGGGGCAAGCGUUAUCCGGAUUUACUGGGUGUAAAGGGAGCGUAGACGGUGAUGCAAGUCAGAAGUGAAAGCCCGGGGCUCAACUCCGGGACUGCUUUUGAAACUGUGUGACUGGAGUGCAGGAGAGGUAAGCGCAAUUCCUGGUGUAGCGGUGAACUGCGUCGAUAUCAGGCGGAACCCCAGUGGCGACGGCGGCUUACUGGACUGUACCUGACGUUGCGGCUCGAAAGCGUG
Molecule: ribosomal RNA, 408 nt
Filed under: uncultured bacterium
Lineage: Bacteria
Description: partial 16S ribosomal RNA
Rfam family: Bacterial small subunit ribosomal RNA
Source: RNAcentral